RNAcentral lists this ribosomal RNA (270 nucleotides) under uncultured bacterium. RNAcentral's name for it is "partial 16S ribosomal RNA". It matches the Rfam family "Bacterial small subunit ribosomal RNA", at positions 28 to 288 of the family's 1533-position model. The record is from RNAcentral.
GAUUAACGCUGGCGGCGUGCCUAACACAUGCAAGUCGAGCGGGUGCCAAUCUGUAGCAAUACAGAUGAAGCGCUAGCGGCAGACGGGUGAGUAACACGUAGUCAACCUACCUUUCCGUCCGGGAUAACUAAUCGAAAGGUUAGCUAAUACCUGAUACGAUCGUCGAGCGGCAUCGCUUGACGCUGAAAGCAGUAAUGCGCGGAUCGAGGGGGCUGCGGCCCAUUAGCUAGUUGGUGAGGUAACGGCCCACCAAGGCUACGAUGGGUAGCU